CUUGCUGUAAACUUGUGUCUGUCAAUCAUUUUGCGCGUUCACAGCUGGCAGUCCAUAUAUGGGAACCGGAAGAACAGCGUGUGACGGAUGAACUUGAAUCGGUUUUCGUGAGUUUGGAGCCUGUGGAAUGUUCGCGAAUUCUUACGAUUUAAACAGCUACAAAUUCAAAAGUAAUAAACAGACCAACAAAAAAAACCACACAAGACUAAAGUAAAGAUAAAGCGGCGGAAGUUCUAGAAAAGGUCUUAAGCAACGCAAGGCCACGAGACUCGGAUGAGGAAAUUCUCAGUGCAGCAACAGAUGUGAUGCCCCUGCAGUUCUGUUUGCUUCCACGGACCUCGGAGCAGCCAUAACUCGAUCCGCCUCCAUCCCAGAGGUGCCAUUCCGAGGAUAGAGGGAGUGUCU
This 405-nucleotide long non-coding RNA is filed under the name Sinocyclocheilus grahami. RNAcentral describes it as "lncRNA (ENSSGRG00000034710.1)". Lineage: Eukaryota; Metazoa; Chordata; Actinopteri; Cypriniformes; Cyprinidae. The record is from RNAcentral.